RNAcentral lists this small nucleolar RNA (69 nucleotides) under Castor canadensis (American beaver). RNAcentral's name for it is "Small nucleolar RNA SNORD73 (ENSCCNG00000009623.1)". It matches the Rfam family "Small nucleolar RNA SNORD73". Rfam says of the family: U73 is a member of the C/D class of snoRNA which contain the C (UGAUGA) and D (CUGA) box motifs. Lineage: Eukaryota; Metazoa; Chordata; Mammalia; Rodentia; Castoridae. The record is from Rfam by way of RNAcentral.
AAUACAUGAUGAGAAAAUGUUUCGGUCCCAGAUGAUGUCCGAUGAUAACUGUUACAUUUUUCUGAUGUU